GGAAGGUUCAAUACCUUUUGGUCAUGCCUUGAAGACAAUGAAGAAGAUCUGAAAGAUGAAUAUUGCAUCACUAGAGCGGAUUCCGACUAAUUACCUGUCCAUGACUCCAUGUCUUGUUUAUUUGCAUCACUUGGGAGACUUUGCAGUUGAACAAUGUGUCAAUGUGUACUUGUAUUAGUUGUAUGGUAUGCCUGUAGUCCUGUACUGUAUUGUUGAAUGUGUGGACCGUGGUGAUUGGUGAACUAUUGAACUGUGCUGUGUGAUUUGUGAUUGUGAUGAAUUGAGAUUAUGAACGUUGUGAUCUAUUUAUAUGUUAAAUAUCAUCCAUUUAUACU
RNAcentral lists this long non-coding RNA (335 nucleotides) under Setaria italica (foxtail millet). Its description in RNAcentral is "long non-coding RNA (SITA_LNC001550)". Lineage: Eukaryota; Viridiplantae; Streptophyta; Magnoliopsida; Poales; Poaceae. The record is from RNAcentral.